AGUUAUGUUGAUUGCAAAGCUUCAACAUAGAAAUUUAGCGAAACUUCUAGGAUGCUGCAUUAAGGGAGCAGAGCAAAUGCUAAUUUAUGAAUAUUUGCCAAACAAAAGCUUGGAUUCAUUUCUUUUUGGUAAGCAUUUUUGCUCAUCUGUUGCUUUGAGGUAAACUGGCUGUCCAUUUUUUACUGUUUCAGAACAAAUAUGGUUGAGAUGUACAACCAUAGACUGCAUAAUUUGACACGUUAACUCAAAAGAAGAAUAUCUAAAAUUUUGUCGUAGAUGGAACAAGAAAAUCAUUAUUGGAUUGGACAAGACGCUUCAAUAUUAUAAUGGGGACUGCCCGUUACAUUUUAUAUUUUCACCCAGACUUAAGGUUGAGAAUUAUUCAUAAAGAUCUAAAAUGUAGCAAUAUAUUAUUUGACGAAGAAACGAACCAAAAAAUUUCAGAUUUUGGUAUAACUAGAAUAUUCAAAGCCGACCAAAUUAAAAAAAAGACAAAUAGAAUUAUUGGAAUAUAGUAAGUAUAUGAUGAUACGGUAGCUGAUCACUAUGAAUGUCAUGAAUACUCACUUGUUCAGUCUAAUUCAACAACUUUCUCAAUGCAGGGAGUAUAUGUCACCAGUGUUUGGAAAAUUUUCAAUAAAAUCUUAUAUAUCUAGUUAUGGGGUGAUAUUACUAGAGACUAUGAGUGGCACGAAGAGCAAUUGGUUUUACCAAGAGGAUUCUUCCUUGAGCUUGAUAGGACAUGCAAGUGAUAUAAACUUUUAGUUUUAGAUACAUAUGUUGGAUAGUUCAUCCUCGUAUGCUAAUGCUUUGAAUUCUACAGGUGUGGAAGUUAUGGAAAGAAGAUAGAGUGUUGGAGAUAGUUGAUUCAUCACUAGAAGGGUCAUAUUCACCCCAUGAAGUCUUGAGAUGCACUAAAAUUGGGCUCUUAUGUGUUCCAGAAAAUGCUAUGGACAGACCAACUGUGGCAGAAGUUGUACUGAUGUUGAGUAGUUAAACAGCUCUUCCCUCUCCAAAACAAUCAGCUUUCAUUUUUAGAACACUACUGAGUCAAAAUGAACACUGAAACUGGUGAUUCGUGCAAUUUAUGUCAAUGAAAAUAAAGUUACAUAACAGGCUAUGUUAGGGUCCAUUUCUGACUAUGAAUGUCAAUGAACACUGCCAAAGAGAAAACAACUUCAUCAUAAAGAAAAAAAAAUGUAUUGCACAGUGAUCACAUUCUUGCUAAAAUGGGGACAAUGCCACCUAAAUCCCGUAGUUACUACCUCAUUCUAGUUCACUCAUAGCUUAAAAAGGAACACCAAUAUAGUUAACAAUCCCUAAAUAAAUCUGCAGCAAAAGCAGACACUAAAAAGAUUCAUCACUAAAAGAAAGAAUUUUGCUUUCAUCACCAGAAGCUCCUGCCCUGCAAAGAAAUGAGAAACCACUGCUACCACUUUUAUAUGGCUGAAAACUUGGGAACAUCCACUGGGAAAUGGUGUAUCUCAUCCAUCCAUGGAUUCUUCUCCUUAGCUGGGCUUAUGGUCCGCAGAGCUUUCCAGACUGCACUGUUACAUUUGAAUCCAGAUCCAAAAGCUAUCUGCCACAUUCUGUCCCCCCUCUUCAUCCUUCCUUUGGCUUCUGUAUAAGCCAAUUCGUACCAAAGAGAGCUGCUUGAAGUAUUACCAAAUCGAUAUAGUGUCAUUCUUGAGGGUUCCAUAUGCCAAUGGGAAAGCUGAAGGUUUUUCUCCAAUUCAUCCAGCACAGCUCUUCCACCAGCAUGGAUACAAAAAUGCUCAAACGCCAGUUUGAAAUCUGGAAUGUAUGGCUUAAUCUUCAUCUUGAGAAGUUUCUUCCCCACCAAUGUGGUAAAGAAGAGCAGCUGUUCAGACAUUGGCAAAACAAGAGGGCCCAAGGUAGUGAUAUUAGUCUUUAAAGCAUCCCCAGCUACUCCCAUCAAAUCCUUAGACAAAGAAACUCCAAUGCGCCCAGUAGAAUCCUCUCUUUGAGUAACACAAGAGAAGCACUUAUCAUCAGCACCCUUGUGCGUCCUAACUGUAUGAACCAGUCUGUACUUGGAACGCCACCCCUCAGACCUUUUAUUGGAAAGCAUAAUGGCAGCCCCUCCCAUUCUAAACAAGCAAUUUGAAAGGAGCAUUGACCUGUCAUUCCCAAAGUACCAAUUCAAAGUAAUAUUUUCCAUGCUAAUGACCAAUGCAUAAGAAUUAGGAUGUACUUGAAGAAGAUCUUUAGCCAGAUCAAUUGAUAUCAAACCAGCACUGCAACCCAUGCCCCCCAGAUUAUAGCUAAUAAUAUUCCCUCGGAGUUUAUAAUGAUUAAUGAUCAUAGCAGAUAAAGAGGGAGUUGGAUUAAACAAGCUACAAUUCACAAUCAAGAUCCCAAUAUCUUUCGGUUUCAAAGAUGUUUUCUCAAAUAGUUGAUCGACUGCACCAAACAUCACGGCCUCAGCCUCUUUCCUCGCCUCUGCCAUACAUGGAUUUGGAGGAACUCUGAGUACAGCCUCAGGGAGAUAAGUUGACUCUCCAAGCCCAGACCUUUCAAGAAUUUUCCUUUGAAACUCAAGGCUUUGCUCAGCAAAAGAACCCGUUAACUGAGACCUUUCCAUAAAAAUCUGCCUAGUACAUUUUCUCAAAUCAUCAGGCUUAUAACAGGAGAAAUCUACAAGGUAAACAGGGCGGGGACGAGUGAGGAAGUAAAGGGUCAACAAAAACACAAGUAGGGUUGAACACAGGAUCACAGAUAUGAGAUUGAAUUUGAGAUGAUCCCAAAGGUCAUGGAGAUCUUGGACAGAGAAUGUAGAUAGCUGAGCAGCGACAAUGACAACAAGAGGAGAUAAAAACAGGUACAUUCCAUGGGUGAUAAGGUAAUGGUAGCCAAGCUUCACGUAUUUAAGCUUCACAGAUUGUUUAAAAUCUGGGAGUUUUGGAGAGGAUGAUGGAGGGAUCAAGGAUGAUUUGGGAUUUGAAUCAGACAUUGAUACUUUUUUUCCUUGACCAGAGACGUAGUGCUAGGUGUCUGGGAUUGAUGAGAUUGUCUAGUACUUGCAAUAAAAAUUGGAAUUUGGGUCUUUAGGAUUUUCAAGGUCUACCAGGAAAAUGGCUUCACAAAAGAUCUGUACUGAAUCAAAUAAUACAACAGAUUACAAGAACCUUAACAUCCCUUGAAUGAGAAAUCUGAGCAGAAAUGACCAAUCUUCAUGUCUGAGAAAAGAAAGAAGACGACAGAGGUUGAGAAAGUCCAGAGAGUUGGAAGUUUUGUAACGGACGACUGCUUUAGGUUGUCUUAACGCUUAAGCCUUUCACGUGUGAACCAACAUCACACCAUGUGCCGCGUAAUGUAAACUUAAUUGUUCUUGUAUAUUUAAAUUUAUUUUUUUUUAAAUUAG
This 3385-nucleotide unclassified non-coding RNA is filed under the name Hevea brasiliensis (rubber tree). The record is from RNAcentral. Lineage: Eukaryota; Viridiplantae; Streptophyta; Magnoliopsida; Malpighiales; Euphorbiaceae.